RNAcentral lists this ribosomal RNA (318 nucleotides) under uncultured bacterium. RNAcentral's name for it is "bacterial SSU rRNA". It matches the Rfam family "Bacterial small subunit ribosomal RNA", at positions 28 to 334 of the family's 1533-position model. The record is from RNAcentral.
GACGAACGCUGGCGGCGCGCCUAACACAUGCAAGUCGAACGGAGUUGUGUUGAAAGCUUGCUGGAUAUACAACUUAGUGGCGGACGGGUGAGUAACACGUGAGCAACCUGCCUUUCAGAGGGGGACGAACAGUUGGAAACGACUGCUAAUACCGCAUAAGCUGUGAGUAUCGCAUGAUACAAAUAGAAAAGGAGCAAUCCGCUGAUAGAUGAGCUUGCGUCUGAUUAGUUAGUUGGUGAGGUAACGGCCCACCAAGACGAUGAUCAGUAGCCGGACUGAGAGGUUGAACGGCCACAUUGGGACUGAGAUACGGCCCAG